GAUGAACGCUGGCGGCGUGCCUAAUACAUGCAAGUCGAGCGAACAGACGAGGAGCUUGCUCCUUUGACGUUAGCGGCGGACGGGUGAGUAACACGUGGGUAACCUACCUAUAAGACUGGGAUAACUUCGGGAAACCGGAGCUAAUACCGGAUAAUAUUUCGAACCGCAUGGUUCGAUAGUGAAAGAUGGCUUUGCUAUCACUUAUAGAUGGACCUGCGCCGUAUUAGCUAGUUGGUAAGGUAACGGCUUACCAAGGCAACGAUACGUAGCCGACCUGAGAGGGUGAUUGGCCACACUGGAACUGAGACACGGUCCAGACUCCUACGGGAGGCAGCAGUAGGGAAUCUUCCGCAAUGGGCGAAAGCCUGACGGAGCAACGCCGCGUGAGUGAUGAAGGUCUUCGGAUCGUAAAACUCUGUUAUUAGGGAAGAACAAACGUGUAAGUAACUGUGCACGUCUUGACGGUACCUAAUCAGAAAGCCACGGCUAACUACGUG
RNAcentral lists this ribosomal RNA (497 nucleotides) under uncultured bacterium. Its description in RNAcentral is "partial 16S ribosomal RNA". It matches the Rfam family "Bacterial small subunit ribosomal RNA", at positions 28 to 507 of the family's 1533-position model. The record is from RNAcentral.